AGCGGGGUGGGGAAGCCAGGUGAUCCCGGCGGGCUCAUAACCCGCAGAGCGGUUUCCACUUUUGCAUUUCGCACGUGGCCGCAGGUUCAAAUCAACCCCCCGCUA
This 105-nucleotide transfer RNA is filed under the name Nitrosopumilales archaeon. RNAcentral's name for it is "tRNA-Met". It matches the Rfam family "tRNA". From Rfam's summary of the family: Transfer RNA (tRNA) molecules are approximately 80 nucleotides in length. Their secondary structure includes four short double-helical elements and three loops (D, anti-codon, and T loops). The record is from RNAcentral. Lineage: Archaea; Thermoproteati; Nitrososphaerota; Nitrososphaeria; Nitrosopumilales.